UUGAGAUAAUGUAAUUCAAUAAUUACGAAUACUUAUAAACUAGUAUUUCAUAUUUAACGGAGAAGGGCCAAAUAUAUCAUGUCCUAUCGGAAAAGGGCCAAAUAUAUCCCCUCGUUGUACUUUGGGUCCAAAUAUACCCCUGCCGUUAUACUUUAGCAUAAAUAUGCCAUUUAAUUUAACGAAAGGACAUGUGUCAAGCCUGGAACGAAUAAACUCAUACCCGAUUUAAAAUAUCCAUUCCAUUUUAGAAACCCACCCGACCCAAUCUCCUCAAAAUUAUACAGCCGACAUAACAAGGAAUUUUAGGUCAUUUAACAUAACAACAAUUUCAACCCUUGAUGAUUCCAAAAGAAGCACAAUACAUAGGGAAUCCUGCGAAUCAGUUAAGUUCAUCUCCCCCAAUAAGUCAUCUUUCAUCGACGAUUGACUUGACACAAUUAGCCGGAACAAAAGCCUGAAGCUUAUGUGAAGGUGUAACUCGAUUUUGCAAGAUAGCCACACUACCAAUCCGCAUGUUUAUCAACCAAACGUCACUUUCCAUUAAGCGAAGAGCAUCAUAUACAUAUGCAGAAUAUGAUCCGCUGGACAGGAUAGUCGAUAGGAGGUGAAGUGCUUCAAAUUUCAGUGCAUUAUGCAGUAAAGCAAACUGCUUUGCCACUGCAACUACCACCAUAGACAGGAUAUAAGGCGAAGCAUCCCAGGUAAUUUGCCUCCAUCGAUGACUAAUAUUCCAGCAUCCUCCAUGUACAGUGCGAGAUCAGGACCUAACAGAAGCAGAACAGUGAGUGUAUCCGACUCCCCACUUGCUACGAGCUGCAAUGGUAGUUCAGAAGUGAGUGUCAAUAACAAUGCAGUGUGUGUUGAUGGGAGUGAAGUUGAUGAUGCUAUUAGCGGUGAUAAAGGUGCUAGAUCUCCUGCCAGUAUGCAUGGAAGGUAAUGAUUGCCCUUCGCCUAUGCAAGAUUAAGAAUUAUAGUUUUGAUUCAGUGCCGGAAUGAGAGUCUUUGGCGUUUGAAUUAUCAUUGUUUCCUGGGAAGAACCGAGGCGUAUGGUUAUCUCAUUAUGUAAAGAUUGAUGCACAGUUAGCUAUAUUAUUUGAAGCCAGCCUUAUCUCA
Long non-coding RNA from Lycium barbarum (goji berry), 1113 nucleotides. RefSeq lists it as uncharacterized. The transcript is spliced from 2 exons. NCBI's taxonomy places the organism in Eukaryota, Viridiplantae, Streptophyta, Magnoliopsida, Solanales, Solanaceae. The record is from RefSeq and is a predicted model, not a curated record.